AUGCGCAGAUUGAAGCUGAGUGAUGAUAAAAAUGAGCUCACUUUGGCAUCAGUUCUUCAGGGUUUCUUCGAUGCAGUCACCCUUUUGCUGAGGAGCUAUGUUGACAAAGAGAAACAGAUAAUUCGCGGCGUUUUCUCACCCCGGGAGAUGGAAAUGCCUGCAAGAACAUUCUUGAAUUGGUACAAAAGAGUAGAUGACACUGCAUAUGAAUUCAACACGUGA
Molecule: non-coding RNA, 222 nt
Organism: Vicia faba (fava bean)
Lineage: Eukaryota; Viridiplantae; Streptophyta; Magnoliopsida; Fabales; Fabaceae
Source: the annotation of a GenBank genome assembly